AUUUCAACUUCAAAAUUCACACCCUCACAAGUCAUACAUAACACAGAAGUCUCAACUCAUAUUCUCUCAAAAUUCUUACGAAGAACAAUUCCCGCGUUAUCAAUGUCAACGUGGGCUUCAAUUAUCGCUACCAAUUGGGAUCCCGACGAGUGGGAAAUCGUCAACGACGAUGGCUUCGUCUACAAGCGCAAGAAACGUCGAAUUGACCCCACUUCCUUCGCUCGUGCGCCAGAUCCCGAACCAGAUCCAGCUCUUCGAAUCAAGGAAAAACGAAAGAACAAACGCGCAGCUUUGCUCAAGUUAAAGGAGAAAUACCUAAAAGAAAUUUCUGGCUGGGACAAUUUAUCGAACACCUUGAAGGCAAAACAAGAUAGUGUUAUAUCUAAGCGUGAACAAGUUAAGAAGUCAUCUGGGGAGGACAAAGAAGGAGGGAAGCUUCUAGAAAUGGGCGAUAAAGGGUUUGAAUCUGUUGAUAACUCUUCUGGGUCUUUACUUGAUGAGCUUCUCAAGCAGGUUGAAGAACAAGAAACAAUACUACACAAUAUUGAGCAGCUUUGUGAUGUAGCUGAAUCCUUGUGCUAUGCCCAUGAGGAGAUGGCGAAAACAUCUUACUUAAAUCUCCCGGUUUGGGAGGGUAACCCUCGUGAAACUGCUGCAUCUCUUUGUGAGGAUUGAUCAUUAGUAGUUUGGUUAGCUUUCUGCAGGCAUCAGAGGCAAAGGCAAUCUGGUCAAUUGCAGGCAGCUGACAUGCUGUCAAGUCGUUUCACUGGGUUAUGUUGCUCACACGCAGGUGCUAUUGUCAGGUGAUAAAUAUGGGUGGCAAAAGGCUUGCUGCUUCGAAAGGUCCCAAGUGUUGUGAAAGUGGUUGCUGACUUGCUGGUAAAAUGUGGUAGAUGAACUACUGUUUUGAGCAGAGGAAAGUGAGAUCCUUCUAUGACAUGCUCGAGAAAGGCCAGAUCAGUGUUGUUGUAGAAGAAUAAAUCGUAUUUGAUGAAUCAUAUUUUGUUUAACUUGGUGUCUUUCCUCGUUUUGCUGCUAAUUCUUCAGGGAAGGAGUGCAUAAACCCAUUCAUGAUUAAUGGAGUACUUAGUAAUUUUUGUCUGAUACUGAAAGUUAAUGAUGUAAUGAUAUGGAUUUUCAGUUUUCAUGUUCCUCCCCUUUGGGUGGUGAGUUUUAUGAGAACAUGAGCACUAUAUUUUCUAUUGCCGA
Molecule: RNA transcript, 1209 nt
Organism: Spinacia oleracea (spinach)
Lineage: Eukaryota; Viridiplantae; Streptophyta; Magnoliopsida; Caryophyllales; Amaranthaceae
Exons: 4
Source: RefSeq, a predicted model, not a curated record